This 99-nucleotide signal recognition particle RNA is filed under the name Beggiatoa alba B18LD. RNAcentral describes it as "Bacterial signal recognition particle RNA". It matches the Rfam family "Bacterial small signal recognition particle RNA". Rfam says of the family: The signal recognition particle (SRP) is a universally conserved ribonucleoprotein involved in the co-translational targeting of proteins to membranes. Archaeal SRP consists of a 7S RNA and homologues of the eukaryotic SRP19 and SRP54 proteins. Lineage: Bacteria; Pseudomonadati; Pseudomonadota; Gammaproteobacteria; Thiotrichales; Thiotrichaceae. The record is from RNAcentral.
ACGUUGGUUCCCUCGCAUCAUGAAGUUAUAAACCCUGUCAGGUCCGGAAGGAAGCAGCAGUAGUAAUCUAGUGAGUGCCGUGGUGUAGCUGGCGUGGUU